RNAcentral lists this unclassified non-coding RNA (221 nucleotides) under Hevea brasiliensis (rubber tree). The record is from RNAcentral. Lineage: Eukaryota; Viridiplantae; Streptophyta; Magnoliopsida; Malpighiales; Euphorbiaceae.
AGUCUCCACUAGCCUUAACAUCCCCACCUACUAUUUCCUCCCCAGUUCUGCCAGUGGCCUUGCUGCUUUUCUUUACUUGCCUACCAUUCAUAACACCACUACAAAGAGUUUGAAAGAUCUUGAUUUGCUUAUUGAUGUCCCUGGGCUCCCAUCCUUACCGGCUUAUAACAUGCCAAUGCUCAUGCUCGAUCGAAAUAGCAAAGUUUAUCAAUAUUUCAAAG